RNAcentral lists this small RNA (29 nucleotides) under Bombyx mori (domestic silkworm). RNAcentral's name for it is "ovarian small RNA-26762". Lineage: Eukaryota; Metazoa; Arthropoda; Insecta; Lepidoptera; Bombycidae. The record is from RNAcentral.
UCCAGAGUUCUUCCAAACCCUGGAAGCGC